GUAGGGAAUCUUCCGCAAUGGGCGAAAGCCUGACGGAGCAACGCCGCGUGAGUGAUGAAGGUUUUCGGAUCGUAAAGCUCUGUUGCCAGGGAAGAACGUCCGGUAGAGUAACUGCUAUCGGAGUGACGGUACCUGAGAAGAAAGCCCCGGCUAACUACGUGCCAGCAGCCGCGGUAAUACGUAGGGGGCAAGCGUUGUCCGGAAUUAUUGGGCGUAAAGCGCGCGCAGGCGGUCAUUUAAGUCUGGUGUUUAAGGCCAAGGCUCAACCUUGGUUCGCACUGGAAACUGGGUGACUUGAGUGCAGAAGAGGAGAGUGGAAUUCCACGUGUAGCGGUGAAAUGCGUAGAUAUGUGGAGGAACACCAGUGGCGAAGGCGACUCUCUGGGCUGUAACUGACGCUGAGGCGCGAAAGCGUGGGGAGCAAACAGGAUUAGAAACCCUAGUAGUCC
This 449-nucleotide ribosomal RNA is filed under the name uncultured bacterium. RNAcentral's name for it is "bacterial SSU rRNA". It matches the Rfam family "Bacterial small subunit ribosomal RNA", at positions 354 to 796 of the family's 1533-position model. The record is from RNAcentral.